RNAcentral lists this long non-coding RNA (220 nucleotides) under Elaeis guineensis (African oil palm). Its description in RNAcentral is "long non-coding RNA (EGUI_LNC028980)". Lineage: Eukaryota; Viridiplantae; Streptophyta; Magnoliopsida; Arecales; Arecaceae. The record is from RNAcentral.
AUUCUCUCUCUCUCAGCUGGGGCCUAAAGUGCACCGUUAUAGCAGCUUUGUCCAUAAAUAUUAAUGAAAGAUAUAUGUCACACUAGUUAUGGUAUUCUCACUUAUUAGUGUUCAUGGUAUUCUCAGACACUUUUCACUUUAUAGCUUACAAAUUUGGCAUACUCUACCAACAAAAUAAUUCAACUAGGAUAUAACCACCGUGAUGCAUAUAGUCCCAUUU